CAGGAUGUAGUUCAAUUGGUAGAGCAUGUGCUUUGGAAGCAUGAUGUUGUUGGUUCAAGUCCAGCCGUCCUGU
Molecule: transfer RNA, 73 nt
Filed under: Sphingomonadales bacterium EhC05
Lineage: Bacteria; Pseudomonadati; Pseudomonadota; Alphaproteobacteria; Sphingomonadales
Rfam family: tRNA
About the family: Transfer RNA (tRNA) molecules are approximately 80 nucleotides in length.
Source: Rfam by way of RNAcentral